RNAcentral lists this ribosomal RNA (531 nucleotides) under Escherichia coli. Its description in RNAcentral is "partial 23S ribosomal RNA". It matches the Rfam family "Bacterial large subunit ribosomal RNA", at positions 165 to 737 of the family's 2925-position model. Lineage: Bacteria; Pseudomonadati; Pseudomonadota; Gammaproteobacteria; Enterobacterales; Enterobacteriaceae. The record is from RNAcentral.
CAUAGGUUAAUGAGGCGAACCGGGGGAACUGAAACAUCUAAGUACCCCGAGGAAAAGAAAUCAACCGAGAUUCCCCCAGUAGCGGCGAGCGAACGGGGAGCAGCCCAGAGCCUGAAUCAGUGUGUGUGUUAGUGGAAGCGUCUGGAAAGGCGCGCGAUACAGGGUGACAGCCCCGUACACAAAAAUGCACAUGCUGUGAGCUCGAUGAGUAGGGCGGGACACGUGGUAUCCUGUCUGAAUAUGGGGGGACCAUCCUCCAAGGCUAAAUACUCCUGACUGACCGAUAGUGAACCAGUACCGUGAGGGAAAGGCGAAAAGAACCCCGGCGAGGGGAGUGAAAAAGAACCUGAAACCGUGUACGUACAAGCAGUGGGAGCACGCUUAGGCGUGUGACUGCGUACCUUUUGUAUAAUGGGUCAGCGACUUAUAUUCUGUAGCAAGGUUAACCGAAUAGGGGAGCCGAAGGGAAACCGAGUCUUAACUGGGCGUUAAGUUGCAGGGUAUAGACCCGAAACCCGGUGAUCUAGCCAU